Molecule: small RNA, 66 nt
Filed under: Escherichia coli
Lineage: Bacteria; Pseudomonadati; Pseudomonadota; Gammaproteobacteria; Enterobacterales; Enterobacteriaceae
Description: RNA25_SPACER2
Source: RNAcentral
AGCGGGGAUAAACCGCAGCCGAAGCCAAAGGUGAUGCCGAACACGCUGAGUUCCCCGCGCCAGCGG